This 3031-nucleotide unclassified non-coding RNA is filed under the name Hevea brasiliensis (rubber tree). The record is from RNAcentral. Lineage: Eukaryota; Viridiplantae; Streptophyta; Magnoliopsida; Malpighiales; Euphorbiaceae.
AAAAAAAAAUAAAAAUAAGAUAAAAAAAAAAAAUAAGUGUUCAUUAUCACAAUUUAUUUAUUCCAAUAUUUUUGGUAUUUAUGAGGCUUGGUGAUUCAGUUUCCUUGAUUUCGAAGCCCUCGCUUUCCAUGCCCUGAUCCCAAGCAAUACUUAAUUCUUAAACCCAUCUGUAUGUAAACGAGUUUCACUUCGAAAUUCUCAGAGAAGCCCAAGGACUAGCACACUCUGAGAGAGUGCGAGAUCCAGAGUCAGUUUUCUCUCCUCUUCUCUAUUCCUUUCCUUUCUCAUUUCAACAAUGUGUAUUUUUUUGGGUUAUGUGAUUUCCCGUUUCAUUUGAUCAAUAUGUAUUUUUUUGGGUUCUUCUAAUUUGGGUAAGCUGUGAAAAUGGAUUUAGAGACGAAACUGAGGUUGCAAUUUGCUUUCAUUUGUCAGUGUAGUUGUACAAAACCUCCAUGGAUCUUAGCUCAGCUUAGCUAUUGGCGAUGUUCAGUGUCAUUAUUUUAUUUAGCUUAAAAGUUUUUUUAAUUUUUCUGGCUCCUGAGGUGUAUAUUUGUUUUGAGAAUCUGAAUUAGGUGAAAUAAUGAUAUUAACCUAGAAAAAGGAGGAAGAAUGAGGAAAUUUUGAUGAGAAAAUGGAUAAAAUUAAGUAUUGGAAGAGUAGGUUAUGAUAGUGAGUGUGAUCUAGUCAACACUGAAAUAAUUGGACAAUGCAGGUGGUGACAUUUUGCCAAGUCUAACAUUAUAAUAUGGAUAGUUUGGGUGGUUCAAGGUUGGCAAAUUUAAAAUCAAAUUAAGGUGAAAUUGAGUUGUCUGGGAAGUUGAAAGUUAGGGUUCAUUGGUGUUUUGUUUUUUGAUGUGGAAAAUUGAACAAUAUGACUAUGAUGAAAGUUGAUUGCAGCUAUGCAAUGUGUAGUUAACCAGUUGUUUUGAUUCAGCGAAGUUAGCUAAUGUGAUUGAAGAUAUUCAAUAGUGUGGGGUUGGAUUUUAAAAUAAAUUAUAAUGUGGGUUGAGACGGGUGGCCCUUGUUGGUAGCUUUUCACUCUUUCUUGAUAUAAUCAUCUUUCUUUCAUAACUGGGCAUAAUUGAGAGAUUGCGCAUUAAUGAUGAAUCACAUCUGGAAAGCCUUGAAUUUCACUACUAACUUGCAUAACUUUUUUGAUGAGUUGGCAAUGGGCUGCGAAGGAAAGUUUAAGUUCCAGCUUGUUGGGGAAUUUAAUAUGUUUGUCUUUGCUUUCUGUUGUAUAUCAUGAAAAAAAUUUACUUUCUGUUGGAAAAGUUACAUGCAUGUGUGCACAUGUGGUUUAGAAUGCUUCUAUAAACUCACCUCAUGAUAUGUUUUUUACCUGUUACAUGUGAGUGAAUUAUCUCUUUAUUCUAACUCUUUAUCCUAACUAUAUGAUUUUUCUCCCUGCUAGAAAUUCCUUUUGAGAUGUCUGACGAUGUGGAGAAUUCUAAAGUUAACAUUGACCAAAAAGGUCCAGGAGCCUCGCCUCCUGCCAAUGAAAUUGAGCCAACCUGGUGUAGCAGCUUACUUCAUCAAACUUCUGUCUAUGGUAUAGCUGCUGGAUAUUGCAUUUCAGCAUCUCUGCUCUCCAUCAUCAACAAGUGGGCUGUCAUGAAAUUCCCUUAUCCUGGAGCUCUAACUGCUCUACAGUAUUUCACUAGUGCUGCAGGUGUUUUUGUCUGUGGAUGUUUUAAGCUUGUGGAGCAUGACCCACUUGACCUUUUGACCAUGUGGCGUUUCUUACCUGCAGCCUUUAUGUUCUACCUUUCACUCUUUACCAACAGUGAGCUCUUACUUCAUGCCAAUGUUGAUACCUUCAUUGUCUUUCGUUCUGUAGUCCCUAUAUUUGUUGCAAUAGGAGAAACACUGUUUCUGCACCAGCCAUGGCCAUCAUUGAAGACAUGGCUGUCGCUUGCCACCAUCUUUGGAGGAAGUGUGCUUUAUGUUCUAACAGAUUACCAGUUCACAGUUACAGCAUACAGUUGGGCUCUAGCUUAUUUGGUAAGCAUGACUGUAGAUUUCGUAUACAUUAAGCAUGUUGUGAUGACCAUAGGUUUAAACACAUGGGGUCUUGUGUUGUACAACAAUCUUGAGGCCCUCCUACUCUUUCCUCUGGAAUUGCUUAUAAUGGGUGAACUGAAGAAGAUAAAGCAUGAAAUCUCUGAUGAGUCAGAUUGGUACUCUUUUGAGGUGGUUCUGCCUGUUGGGUUGUCUUGCAUGCUUGGUUUAUCCAUUUCAUUCUUUGGGUUUUCUUGCCGGAAGGCAAUUUCUGCUACAGGAUAUACUGUUCUUGGCGUGGUGAACAAGCUGUUGACAGUUGUAAUCAAUCUGGUUAUUUGGGAUAAGCAUUCCUCGUUAAUUGGCACAAUCGGGCUUCUCAUUUGUAUGCUAGGUGGAAUUAUGUAUCAGCAGUCCACAGGUAAGCCCAAGUCUGCUCCAGAAGUAAAAGCAGAAGAUACUGAGGAAGAACAACAGAAGCUACUAGAAAUGCAAAGCAAAAUAGAAAGCAACAACAACGAGAAAGAAGAUACUGGAUCUCAUCAGGGAAAAUGAGGCUGUUCCAAAGACAAUAUGAUAGUUCCAUGUUAAAAGAUCAGGAUUAGGCUUAUUAGUUGGCAAAUUGUUGGAAUGGAAAAUCUGAUAUUAAGAGCCUGCCUACAGAUAGCUGGAUAGCCUGUGCUUGAACAGAACUUCUGUGGUUGGAAAUUUAGGUGGCUUUGGUGAUAUUUGCUUUUCUUUUGUAUCUUAUUUUACAGAUUUUAGUUUUAUUAGACCAAGAAAAACAGUCAGGUGUUUUGUUACAAUCUAUUGAUUUGUUCUUGUUAGAACAAUUUUAUCCAAAUAGUCCAGCAGUAAUGUCUUUGAAGUUGACGUUCAGGUGGGCCAAAAAUGUAUUAAAUGUAGCAGAGAGCCCAAUUAUUUUGAUUGUUAGUAGCUUUCUUGUUAUGUUGGUUGUCAGCAUUUUUCCUUGUUUCUCAAUAAGCUCUCUGUGUGUGUUGUGGCAAAUGGUAUGAAUUUUGAUGAAAAU